Molecule: long non-coding RNA, 4324 nt
Filed under: Podarcis lilfordi (Lilford's wall lizard)
Lineage: Eukaryota; Metazoa; Chordata; Lepidosauria; Squamata; Lacertidae
Source: RNAcentral
GAAUUUCAAAUGAUGGUUGUGCUUUGGUUCUUGUGUUGUUUUAGAAAAUGCAAAUUAGGUAGGUUUGCCUUUAAUUGCAAACUGAACCACAUUUCUCUCCCAACCGUACCCACCUCCCAAUGAGCAGCAGAAAGUCAUCUGAACAUGGUCCUUGCACAGUUAAGAUGAAAAAGAAUUCUUUUUUUUUUUUUUUUGGUGCCUCAACAUCUAGUAGAAAGGAAAGAAGGAAUCAUGCAGUCCCAAGAUAGUUGAUCAUAGAUCUAGAUUUAGUGGCAUCUGCCUUCUGCUUGAGUCAAGCUGUUCUAGCAGUCUGAUACAAGACAUUUAUUGUGGAGGAAAUACUGAGAGGGCAAAGCGGCUUUGGAAGAAAUUAUUCAAGGCAAGAAAUGUUGAUGAAACUGCCGAUAAUGCUAAGGGACUAAAAGAAAAAAGGACUCUGAAUCAGCAGAACUUGAAUAAAAUUACCUCAGUGUUCUCUUUUCGUGCUUGCUUAGAAUAUUAUUGGAAGUGUUUUGUUUAUCUAUCAGCUUUUUGCUUCCAAAGCGUGUAAGGAGUCAAAGAGGAUGCCCAGGCUCUCUGGUUAUUAAGAAUUUACAGAUAGCCUAUGAUGCAGAGGAGAGUUUUGAUAACCAAACAAACCAUGACACACUUCCUUCUAUUGUUUCCACUCAGCUAUGCUCUCUUGCCACAGUUUAUUAACUGUUCUAUUUUUCUAGAAAAAGAGGUGCUGGAACUCUCCAGGGAUGCCUUCCUUGUUCCCUUUAUAAUGGCAAUGGCGCCCACCUGAGAGGUGCUGGAACUGAGUUCCGGGUGAAAAAAAAGCCCUGCUCUUAUUUGUCAUGAAAGCCUAGUUUGGCCAGAGACAGCUAUAAGGGGUGUGUGUGUCUGGCAGGUGAGGGACCCCAGAAAACUAAAAGGACCCUAAAAGGAAUGAGUUUCCCCAAGUUGACUAAGGGUGUGUGUACACAUUAGCUGCUUAAAACACAGCUAGGUUCCCCCUCCCCACUCAAUUCAGAUCGAAUCUGGGAUAAGGCAGCUCUGUAUGUCUCUCCCAACCCAUGUCCACAUAGCUCAUGGGAGAAGAACCCUAGGCCCAGGGCUAAAUGUGGUCCUCCAAACUUUUCUAUCUGCCCUCGGAAGUCCUUGUCCAUCAUUUUUGCUUCUGUGGCCCCUGGAAGUUUGCCAAAGACAAAAAGUACCACUCCUUGUAUAAUUAAACUCGCCCAAAUUGCUUUGGGGAUGGAAGAAAGGAAGGAGAGAAAACCUGCUCCAUUGUUUCCAGGAAAUUGUGCUUUAUUUGUUCAAUUUAUUAUUUAUUCAAUUUAUAUACCACCCUUUAUCUGAAUAAAUUACCAGAUGCCAUUCCUCUGUGAUGUGGCUUAUCUUCUUUUUGCAUGAAUUAAUUAUAUAAGAGGAGCAAUUGUUUAUUGUCAGUGUGAAACUUUGCCGUUCUCAGAGAAGUACAGUUAAAAGAGUAAGUGUUUGAGUAUUAUUACGGAUAAUCUCUGUGUAUCUGUGCAGUUUUGCCUAAGGGGCAGAGAUGAACGGGUAACAGUACACCAGUGGGAGAGGAUGACUUUGAAAAUCCACACUUCUCUCUUGAUAACUUAUGGUGUGGGUGGUGGCAAGAGGAUCACAGCUUGUAUCAGCAGGUUUUCAUAUGCUUAUCUUCAGGCAACGGAAAUUGCUGGUAGGAGCGAUGUUCCCCCCUCCCUCUUCCCAGGGAAGAAUCAAAAGUGUCAGGAUCAAAGACCACAUUGCUGACUCUGUGCUUGCUGAGCUGCAUUGAUAUAACAAUGGUUCUGGGCAUUAAUAGCACAAAAGGUCGCAGGACACAAAUGCUGGAGGAUGACAGUGAGCAGAAAGGAUCUUUCUUUCACACAUUUUUAAAAACCAAUAGGUAUAUAUUUCAGCUAAACAUAUGAUGGGAAGUAAGUCCAAUUCACUACCUGAGAAUUCAGCUUUCUUUUUCUUUUCUUUUUUAAAAAAUUGCAUCUGAUUUCUGUGCUAGCAAGGACAAUGUUGUAUGGCCCAGGGGUGGCUAAUUUAUGUGACCCUCCAAAUGUUGUGUAACUACAAUUGAGGCUGCUGGCUGAGGGUACCGGGCACUGGGAGUCCCAACAACUAGUGAAAGGUUACUGGUUAUCCACCCUGGCAUAGCAAGAGCAGGUCAUACCAAUUGAGGAAGCCCAACUUAUGAGUGACCUGCCCUGGCCUUUUGGCAAAAAGAAACUUCCUUGGUACUUAGGCUUGUUCCCUGCACUUCCCUAGGAAGGAUGUUAGCUUAGUGGUGGAGAGCAUGCUGUGCAUGCAGAAGCUCUCAGUUCAUUCCUCAGCAUCUCCAGGUGAGGCUGAGAAAGGCUCCUUCCCGAAACCCUGUAGGGUGAAUGCCGGGGUAGACUACACUAAGCUUCUGGCUUUGUAUAAGACAACUUCUGAUGCCCCUCUCCUUUUGCUAAACCUGUAGGCUAGCGCACAGGUUAAAUCCCAGUUUGUAUUGUACUGAUACUGUUUCCAACCUGACACAAACUCUGGUAACUACUAGACUAGACUGCUGCAAUGCACUGCAUGUGGGGCCGCCUUUGAAGGUGGUUCAAAAACUGACAUCAGUGUGGCAUAUGGCAGCCAGACCGCUGAUGGGGAACAGGUGGUCAGAACAUAUAUCUCUAGUUCUUGUGUGCUGCAUUGACUUCCAAUUUGUUUUCAAGCCCAGUUCAGAGUACUAGAAAACCUUGAUCUAGAACACCUUGCACAGGUCGGAACCUCAGUACCUCCCAGAUCACCUUUCCUCGUGAAUCUCCUCAGAACCUGAGAUCGACAUCUGAGGUGCUUCUCUUUGUAUCCUCUCCAAGACAUAUCCAGAGGGUAGCAACAAGAGAACAGGCCUUUUCUGUGGUAGCCCCCCAAGUAUGGAACGCUUUCCCCAGUGAAGCUUCCUAGCAACAACUUGUCAUUCUGCCAGUGCUAGGUGAAGAUGCUUUUAUUGUCUCAGACACUUUGGUCAGCACUAACAAUCUGGCAUUGGGUGGCUCUUUUUUGGUGCUCAUUCUUGUGUGGGUGUGGAUACUUUGUGUUGUGUGAUUUUUUUGUGGGUAAUCGCUUUUAGUGCAUUCACAUUGCUUUAAAGGAUAGUAUAUUAUAUUUUGUGUGUUAUUGCUUCUGUAAAUCAUUCUGAGACUUCUUUUGAUUGUGAAGCGAUCUAUAAAUUGAAUGAACCAACUAAAUUUGAGGCUUGACAGACUCUUCUGAAGCAGACUGAAUUACGAAGAAAUAAGAAAAUAUAUGUGGUCAAAUAACUAUUUUCUUUGUGCAGGUAUUUUUUUUUGUAAACAGUUUUUACUGUACUUUUAGUAAGUACAGAACAAGUACGAAAUUAUAGCAAAGAAGUGAAGGGCAACACAAAAAAGAUAAAAUACCAAGCAGUGUUUUAAGGCAUAUAUGGUACAGAAAAGUAGCAGUGGACAAAGAUGAAACUUUAGUUAUGUAAGAGGAACAGCAGCUUCAGAGCUAGCUUAGCACAGAAUGUUAAUUACUCACCACCACCCCUUAGCAGAGUGUAUACAUUGCUCUGAAAAAGAGUGUAUACAAAUUCAUGGAGACUAAGGCUAUCAGUGACUACUAGCUAUCAUUGCUCUAGACCAGGGGUUAGCAACCUUUUUCCGCUGUGGGCCGGUCCAUCGUCCCUCAGACCAUGUGGUGGGCCGGACUAUAUUUGGGGGAGGGGGAAUGAACGAAUUCCUAUGCCCCACAAAUAACCCAGAGAUGCAUUUUAAAUAAAAGGACGAUUCUACUCACAUAAAAACACGCUGAUUCCCGGACCGUCCGCAGGCUGGAUUUAGAAGGCAAUUGGCCCUCAUCCGGCCCCUGGGCCUUAGUUUGCCUACCCCUGCUCUAGACAGUCUGCUGUCGAAGGCAGUAUUCCUUUGAAUACCACCUCCUUGGAAUCACAAGUGAGGAAAGUGCUGUUGUUCUCAGGUCCUGCUAUCGGGCUUUCCAUUGGAAGCUGGUUGACCACUGUGAGAACAGGAUGCUGAAUUGCAUGUGUUGGUUUUUGGAUUUGGUUCAAGAUAAAAGAAUAUUGGUAAAAUAAAAAGGAGAAUUCCCUGGAUUCCUAGAUCCAGGUUUGGGGCAAGUACUCUUUGGUAAGAGAGUCCAAGCAGAGAUUUAAAAUCACAAACCAUGCAACUAAAUAAAGUUGGAAACCUUUAAAAUAUCCCCCCCCCGAGUUGCUUCUAGAGUUCCCCACUUUUUUUAACAUAGAAAGCUCCCACAUGUUUGGUAAGUUAAAAAUGCUUUACUUACAAAUGCUUUCCCAUACAGCCAC